UGUGCCAGCAGCCGCGGUAAUACGUAGGGCGCAAGCGUUGUCCGGAAUUAUUGGGCGUAAAGAGCUCGUAGGCGGUUUGUCGCGUCUGCUGUGAAAACCCGAGGCUCAACCUCGGGCCUGCAGUGGGUACGGGCAGACUAGAGUGCGGUAGGGGAGACUGGAAUUCCUGGUGUAGCGGUGGAAUGCGCAGAUAUCAGGAGGAACACCGAUGGCGAAGGCAGGUCUCUGGGCCGCAACUGACGCUGAGGAGCGAAAGCAUGGGGAGCGAACAGGAUUAGAUACCCUGGUAGUCCAUGCCGUAAACGUUGGGCACUAGGUGUGGGGCUCAUUCCACGAGUUCCGUGCCGCAGCAAACGCAUUAAGUGCCCCGCCUGGGGAGUACGGCCGCAAGGCUAAAACUCAAAGGAAUUGACGGGGGCCCGCACAAGCGGCGGAGCAUGCGGAUUAAUUCGAUGCAACGCGAAGAACCUUACCAAGGCUUGACAUAUACCGAAAACUCAUGGAGACAUGGGGUCCGCAAGGGCGGUAUACAGGUGGUGCAUGGUUGUCGUCAGCUCGUGUCGUGAGAUGUUGGGUUAAGUCCCGCAACGAGCGCAACCCUCGUCCUAUGUUGCCAGCACAUCAUGGUGGGGACUCAUAGGAGACUGCCGGGGUCAACUCGGAGGAAGGUGGGGAUGACGUCAAAUCAUCAUGCCCCUUAUGUCUUGGGCUUCACGCAUGCUACAAUGGCCGGUACAAAGGGCUGCGAUACCGCAAGGUGGAGCGAAUCCCAAAAAGCCGGUCUCAGUUCGGAUUGGGGUCUGCAACUCGACCCCAUGAAGUCGGAGUCGCUAGUAAUCGCAGAUCAGCAACGCUGCGGUGAAUACGUUCCCGGGCCUUGUACACACCGCCCGU
RNAcentral lists this ribosomal RNA (894 nucleotides) under uncultured bacterium. Its description in RNAcentral is "bacterial SSU rRNA". It matches the Rfam family "Bacterial small subunit ribosomal RNA", at positions 504 to 1397 of the family's 1533-position model. The record is from RNAcentral.